This 442-nucleotide unclassified non-coding RNA is filed under the name Bombus terrestris (buff-tailed bumblebee). RNAcentral's name for it is "misc RNA ENSBTSG00005037139.1". The record is from RNAcentral. Lineage: Eukaryota; Metazoa; Arthropoda; Insecta; Hymenoptera; Apidae.
GAGCGCGGUUCAAGUGCGAGCCACGAGCCGUGGAAGCUCGGGCGAGUGCGAACGCGAAUGGAGAAGGCUAGCGGAGAAACCUAAACGAAGCAAGAGGCUCGCAACGGGAUACAUAAUAUACAUAAUUAAAAAAGAAACAGACAAAGGGCGGCUAACUAGCCUGGCAAUUACACGUUGCAACCGGGGAGAUACGAAUUCAUCUCUCGUCGCCUUUAUUCAAUUAACCUACGAACUGAGAAUCCACGCACCGUGAAUGUACGUGACAAACUUCAUCUACUUUUUUUCUUUUUUGGAAAAUCGCUCUUGUUUCUUGAAGAAAGAAUUUAUUCCACGCAUCAGACGUGUUAUCCAACAAGUGAGAAAAAGUAAUUACCCACGCUGCUGCCUAUGCAAAAAAGCUGCGCUCCAAAAUUAACUCUUAAUCGCGCUCGUCCGACUGUCA